GGGGAAAUUUUAAAGAUUUAUAGAUAUAAGAAGAUGGUGCAUGAGUUCGAAUGAGACAACUUUCCAUCAAAGUAAUAAUUGUUUAAAGUAAACCAUUAUAGAUCAAAGUAGGGCCUUAAACACGGAGCAUUGGCUUACAGCGAACACCACGCUAUAUAGGAACAAAAACAUUACUAGUGUUAAACCAUUCAAAAAGGAAAAACAACGGUCUAAUUUGUAUAAAAAAGGAGAUUCAAAAGUAC
This 242-nucleotide long non-coding RNA is filed under the name Mytilus galloprovincialis (Mediterranean mussel). Lineage: Eukaryota; Metazoa; Mollusca; Bivalvia; Mytilida; Mytilidae. The record is from RNAcentral.